RNAcentral lists this long non-coding RNA (219 nucleotides) under Lathyrus oleraceus (garden pea). Its description in RNAcentral is "Pisum sativum (pea) long non-coding RNA (PSAT_LNC035603)". Lineage: Eukaryota; Viridiplantae; Streptophyta; Magnoliopsida; Fabales; Fabaceae. The record is from RNAcentral.
UGUCUUUGAUGUAUGUAUGGAUGGAAUCCCUAUCGUAUGAGACUUAUCUUCCACAAACCCAAUAAACAUUUGGCAAUGGUGCUUCACCAAUCGGUUUGGAGUUAGCGAAGAAAUCCUUCACUAUUUUUCAGAUUUAUAAACUCAUUAGGAGUAGCCAAAAUAUUCUAACCGUGUCAAUUAAUUUCUUGCACCACAUCAAAAUACUCCCCAUGAUCUUCC